Molecule: long non-coding RNA, 457 nt
Organism: Papaver somniferum (opium poppy)
Lineage: Eukaryota; Viridiplantae; Streptophyta; Magnoliopsida; Ranunculales; Papaveraceae
Exons: 2
Source: RefSeq, a predicted model, not a curated record
UCUAAAUAGGUGGAUUGUCGGUUCAUCACAGAUCCCUCUCUUCUCUUCAUAAGUGCAGCUAAAAUUCUAGCAGCAGAAGGAAACAAAAAACUAGGUAUUUCAUCAGUUGGUAGUGGUUCAGUUCGGACUCUACUGAUAAGUGGUGGAGGUGUUCGGAGGAAAAAUCAGAUCCCUAAUAAUUGUACUGAAAUAGUUUCGAAAUCUCAUUGUUUACAGAACACAAGAUGUAAGUGGUGCCGAAGUGAUGUUGUUGAUGAUAUGUGUUUCAGCUCUUUAGAGUCAUGGAGAUUGCCUCAACAGGUCUUCUUCUGUGACCAAUAAUUCUCUCUUUCUCUCUUAAAUAUGUGUAUUAGUUAUCUUGAAUUAUAUGAGUUAUCUUGUUGUUGUGAUAAUUAUAUAUCCAUUUUGUAAAAAACCUAAUCAAAUUGAUAAUUUUAGAUUCAUGAUUUUGCCCUAA